UUAGGAUGACUCUUAAUAGCUAUGCUGCAUCGGCUCCCACAGUUACCUUCUAAUAGGAAGGCAGUCCUUCCUUGGUCAUUUUAUCUGAGCAUUUAUUGCAGGUAGACUCAGUGGGGCAGAAAAGUUUUCUUAAAUCAUACUAAGGAAAGUAGGAAGAGAAUUGCUGUAUGUUGGGGCUAGAUCUUUAUCGUGAGACAACACCUUCUGUGAACAGGAAUUUCUGCUUCCUGUUUAAUAAGAAACUGUUUAAAAUGCAGCCCCUAUUUGUUACAGGCAUUAUCUUGUUACUUCAAGACAUUUUGCAUUGUUGGGACACACUACUUUAUCAUCUGUGUUUUCAAGCUGUGAUUGCAGAAGGAAGGCAGCAGGAAAAUGGUUCUAUUUAACUGACAAAGGCAAUUAGUCAGCAGGGAUAUAAUUUUGCCCAGGAAUCUUUUUUCUUUUUUUUUUGAAUGGGACAUAUUUACCUCUAUAUACCUCAAUGCAGGGUUGUAAUUGCUAAGUAUCAGCAUCCAGCUGACUAGUUCCAAAGCAGAGCUAAGAGAAUAAUUUGGCUGGAAAUGCUAAUAGUGAAACAUGCCGCGCUGAUUUUGUACAGGUAGUUGAACAGUUAUUUGACUUCCUUUCCCCAUUGGUGGCACUUCAUUAACGUUAUUGUGUAAUUAUAAUCGCACUGUGUUGCAGAAUGUAAGUGGCAGCCCAUUUGCAAAUGGAUUAACCUCAGAAAUCUGUCUGCUUGAUAAGAGGCAUCUCUUUGAUCUUAACAAAAUUAAUGGUUGACCCUUAAUUAUUUAGCUUUCCUUGCAUAUCAUGUUAGUCUCUUUGUAUCAGUGAGGUAUCAGCACAAGAGUCUGACAACACACUGAGGACAUGUGAUAAAUAGAGAAUUUAAUGGGCUCUUGCAGAACACACAUAGAAGACAUGCACUUGUCCAGCUGGAGAGCCUCUUUGGUCUAUUUGCCCAACAGUUAUCACUGCUGCUAACAAAUGGAGAUACAAGAAUUUAGUCUUUCCUCUAACACGGCGGGGUUUGAACCUGAAUUUUUAGGUUUCAAAGGUGCUAUCAAUAAGGCAAUAGAGUAGGCUUUUCCCUCUUUGGGAAGCUGUUCCAUUGCGCUUGGAAUAAUUAAAUGUUCUUGCUGUGAGAAAGGAAGCUAGAGAAAAGAGAUGACUUGGUACUCUUGUGGUAAAAAAAUUCUUCCAAAGGAAGAAUUCUAUCCAAAGGAAAGGACAUCCAAGUCCAGUUAAUAUUUAAUAUAAGAUACUUGGGUUUUGAAGGAGCCUAAUGUGUCACUCCAAAGUGAACAGGCUGUAAUGUUACUGGCACCCUGACACUGCAAGGAGGAACAUCUUCAACAAGAAAGAUUUAGAGAAUUCUACCUUUUAAAUACCUUCCAUCCUGUUGAGUAGAAAAAAACUUUGAAGAAGAAAAAUUUCAAGUUGUCAGAGGAAGAGGGCAACUGAACCUGAAGUCUUCCACAUCAGUGGUCUGAGCACUGAGAUUUUACAUACAAGACCUGCAAAUUUAGCUGAUACUUUUUAGUACAGGACUAACAUUGAUUUCUGUAAUCUGAAAGGAUUCAUAAAUAGAAGUUCCAGGUGAACCUAUAUUAUUUUUCCUGCAUAGAUUUAGGCUUCAAAAUCCCUAAUAGGGGGCAAUCUGCUUGGUGUUUACUGCUUAUUGAAAUGGUCCUGUGGACUUACCCUAUUUUUUUAACUCUGCAUCACAGCCCUGGACAAGUACUCUGCUCUACCUCAGUGUUCUAGACGUCAGUAGGUGCCAAGAUAGGCGCUUAUAAUGCAGUAUUUGAAACCCUGUGUGCCUUACUCCAGAACUUACUUUAGGCACUGUAAAAUAUGGCUAUCUCUUAGAAUAAGCUUGUUACUGGACUAUCCCUUUUUAGUGAAGCCAGAGCUCUGGAAAGCAAGACUGAUUGCUUCUGCUGCUGAGGAAGGAAGAAAUCAAGGUUAUGUCAAAUACGAAUCGCUGCUGAAAUCAGGACUGUCACCUCUCAGCUGCAGCCGUCUCCUGCCCAUUGCAUGCCCUCAUAUGAGUGCUCAGAUCUCCACAAAUCUCCCUUAACAUUUCCUUCCAGCUCAUCUCCUUCCUCUACUAGUUCUCUUCCUUCUAUUAAGAUGAUCAGUGUCCCUGACUUGGGCUGCCAGGACAGUCCAUAUCAAAUCUUCACAAUACUGCUGUGCUGAACCCAUCUCCAGAAACUCAACUUUGUUGAACAAAAAUUUAUCCAAAUGACCUGAAUCCUUCCCUGCAGGUAGCAAACUGCAUUACUAGCUAUUUAGCAUCACUUAUGAAACAGUGUUAAUCCAUGUAUUACUGAAUUUCUGGUCAUGGGACAGAUAACUUUGCUGUAGCCUAGUGACGAUAUUCCAAAGCCUGACUCUUGUCUCCAUGGAAAGAGCCUGUCACUAAUGACCAUUCAGGUUGUAGGCCAUAGGUUGUUUGGGCCUUCCAUAGGAGGGACAGGGGAAUUUUGGAGAAUGAUGCAUUUUCUGGUUUUCUGUGUCUGGCUGAGGAUGCCAGAGGAUAUGUGUCUGAACGGACUUCCUCUCCAAGGGAAAAUUGCUCAAGCUGAAAUACACCUAUAAAGGACUAGGAUGCAAAGCGGGAUCCCUCAACCAGAGUGGCUGGCAAGUUGCACUAAAGGUCACCAUAGCCUGUGGUUAUUUCCUGAAGAGCUGUCAUGCCUAAAAUAAUGAUCAGGAAAUGCUACUAAAACAGAAUGACAGGGAAACUUGUUAUUUCUGCCUUACAUCCCACCCAUUCUUCCCAGAGCAAUGAGAAGAUUCAGCUGGGAAUACUAAAAAGGAGAUGCUGACAACAGGGGCAUUUCUCUGGCAAUUCCUUAAAUUUUGUGGCAAGUGCACAACUGUUAUCACGUAGAGAAUGCCUUGGAGAGAACCGAUGCAUUUGAAGUCAACAGCUCUGAGAAGGCCCUCAAAAUAUGAAGAGCAUGAAUCAAGCUUAUUGCACUCAAAGAAAAGUUGCUCUUACACUUCGGUGAGUUUGGAUUAGACCAUGAGAUGCUAGCAACUGAUGCAGAACUGAGGCAGGAAGUGUUAAAAACUAAUAAUUGAGAAGGACACUUUGCAAAGCUCAGGAUGCAUUUUCUAGCGUGAAAAAAAUGCCAUCCAUCAGCUGGAAAUCAUUCUUUUUUCUCAUCCAUAAUCUGAAUGAGGGGGAAAAAUCAAACAGGACUUGCAAAGCAUUCAGCAUUAGCAGGACAGCUGGCGAGGAAUUCCUAGUUGAAAAUUUAUGUUUGAAAAUGACAAAGCAACUGAAAACUGGAUAUUUUCUAGUGAAAAGCCCCCUUAGUCCUUGUAUAGGAAUUGCUGAAUCAAGUCCUGAAUCUCUGAUUGACCACCUGAGGCAAGCAAUGAGUCAGCCCUGAGAGCACAGGUGAAGGCUGUGCUAUUGCACAGCUGUGCUAAUGGAAGGGGUGGAGCCUGGCUGCACCUCUCCUAAACCCACUUAAGGGCUGACUACCACGUGGAAAGGCUUUCUUUUGGAGACUGCUUCUUUUGGAGUCUUCUCAGCAAGCCCAGGACAAAGGUUUGCCUGCUCAGACUACUUCUGACUGGGGAGAAGUAUUAUUGAGGACCGACUCCAUUUCUCCAUUUCAGAAAUCUUUCAGCUUUGUAUCUUUGAAGUGGUCCUUUCCUGAGAUGGCAGAAGGACAUCCAGUCACUGAAAGGAGCUGAGGGCAAAUACCAUGGCUGGAAGUCUGCCGCUGCUGUUGCAGAGCACUGCCAAAGGGAGACUGAACGGAAAAGCAAUCAGAACCUACCAAUAGGCAUCACUUCCUUGAUGCAGCCAAACUGUUCAUGAAUGAGAAGUGAUGCUCAAACCAAUAUUGACUUCUGUGGCUUUGUGCUUGUGUUGCUGAGAAUGAAAUGCUGUAUCACCCUUUCUGAUGGUCUAUGGCAAACACAGAGAGCUAUGAGAAAACAGGACUUCCUCCACAUUGUUCUAUUAGGUCUACAGACUGAAAUGUGGGGAUCAGAGAGAAUUCAGAUGGUCAUAGCGGUGUCUGGAUGUGACACUACUCCUGCGAAGCCUGGAACACUAAAACACUCUCCUCUGGGGCUUCUGUUGGCCAUAUUGCUCUCUGCUUCCUGUCUCUAAGUAGCUGGCAACCUGACUGCAGCCCACCAUUUAUUCCCACUAGCAGAUAUUCCUCUAUGCUAAUUUUACAGCACAGCAGGAAGCUACUGGUAUGAAGUACUCAGUGAAAUGCCUUUAUCCACAUGGAAUGUGCCACUCAUUUCCAUUUGUGAUGGAUCAGAAAUACAGAUGCUGAAGGCUUAGCAAUUAUGCUAAACUUUGAGCACCCUAGCUACAGUUUGCUCCAGUAUUCUUUCAGAGGAGGAGGAGAUUAAUAGCUUUGAUGGAAUUUUAUCAUUACCUUUAAAAUAUAAUUAUUUCCAUUCAUUUCUCCAAAGACCCUUAUUAUGGUUACUUAAUCAAAUUAUUACAAGUUGAGCACAUUAGAACAAAGGUUCUGCUCACUCUGGUUUUUUUUGCAGUCUUGGGAAGUGAGAUUUUUUUAUUCAAGGCACAGUAUUACCUUCAGUGAACAUGGCAGUCAGUGUUCAAUGAGUGGCCAGCUCUAUUCAACACUUUUGGUCUGUAUGCGUUUGCUUACAUCACCUCUGGAGUAUCAUAUUUGCACUAUUUCCAAACAGCAGAUGAUUAGUAACGUCACAGGCUUACCUGUGGGCUCACUAUUUUUGUCUCUUUACGCCUUGUGAAAUGAACACAUUUGCCAAAACUCAAAUAGCAUGGACCCCAUUUGAUGAAUCAACGGUAAAAUCAUCAGAGGCAUCACUGAUGGGCAUAUUUGGCCUAAAUAAUUGCAAACUGUUAAAACUGGGCUUUAGAAUGGGAAAAUACUGAAUCAUGUUCAGCAGAUUCCUACUGCAUGUAAACUUAAUAGACGACAAAGUCAUGAAAUACUUAUAGGAAGAAAGCACACGUGCACGUGCAUGUGUUUUAUAUUCUGUUUAUUAAAGCAUUUAUUCAUUUUCUCAUAGUCAGUAAAAUCUAGUAUUGUUUUGCAAAUGAAAAAGCCAAAACUGUCAAAAGAAACCACGUUUCGCUGGAAGAAAAUGAAGAAAUUUCAUGUCAGGACACUUGAGUAGCUCUUAGACUUACAAAUGAGGUUCUGUCACACUCAUUUUCUUCACAUACCAACUAAUACAUCCAGACUCCCAGUACUAAAAGGACACACUGUUUUGAGAAGCAGGCCAUAUUUAAUAACACCUUGCUAGAAAUACUCUACGACUGGGUCAGCUCUCAUUUGAAUAUCUAAACCAGUGGCUAGGCUUUUCAGAACAGGCAUGGAAAAUUCAAUCUUGAACUGUUCUGAUAAUCUGACCCUGAAUAUUACCCAAAGGACACACGACAUCACUUUCAUAAAUCUAAGCUUUUUUUGGAGGAAGCCUUAAUGGGAUCAGAACACUUUAACUCAGGUGAAUGGAAGAAUUUGAAGGCAGAGAGAAACAGAUGAGACAGAAGGGGCAGAAUUUGAUUUCAAGGCUUUAUGCCUGUCUCUCCAAUAAAAGCAGUUUAGAAAGUACACUGCCUUUCAGGAGAGUGGCAUUUAUCUCAAGGAAUGCAAAUGAGAAUUAUAUUAGUCACAAGCUUGCAAAAAGGGCACCUUUAUCAUCCUCUUGGCCAGCACAGCUAUGGCCACAACACUGCUGGCUGGUGCUUUUUGCCUGUUGUUUAAAGACUCAGCAGAAGAUUAAUAGCUAGUGAGUGAGAAUGAUCUCUGCAGCCUAAAGAAAUCUGAAAGGAAACCACAAAUGCUGGUAACAGCAUGACAUUAUGCUGAGUGUAUAAAGAUAUCUAUAUUAGGCACUUAGGCUAAAUUUAAAAAGAAAAAAAAAAAAAAGAAAGGGUAAAAAUAUUCAGGUCUCUAUCAGAAAGAAGGGCAAAGGCAUGGACUGUCAUCUCCAGCUAAUCAGCUAAUCCAACUGCAACCCAAUGAAUAUUUGUUGUUGUUCCAGCUGAGACGAAUAUGCCAGUCAGAAAUGGUUUUGAUUUAAAGCUUGCAUAAAUAAACACAUUUAAAAUUACAUAUUUUCCACAGAACUUCAACUUCUGCUGUGGGAGGCUGAUAAAAAUAAUGAGUGCGUUGCCCCUUUCUCCCAAAGCACAUUUGGAAUUGUCACUGGAAAGCUGUCUCUGUGCCAGAAUUUCUGGGAAAUGGAGGAUUUUAGGCAAGCUGGGCCAAUACUAUAACAGUGAGAGGUUUGGGAUGUCACCUUAGAAGGAGAAAGAGAAGUCCCUGUAAUGGCACUGGUGCGUUUGUAUCCAUCUCAGCCUUGGUCCAACCUCCCCUCCUGCUCUCUAAUUCAUUUUUUCAGUUAAUUGUUUUUGCAUAACAGCUCUGUUGCUGUAAGGAUGGAGAUUAUCUUUAAAAAUUCAUCUUUGGCUACUUCCUGUCCUCUGAGCUGGCUGCUGCUCACCUUCCUCCUUUGCACGGCCUCAGAGUCUGAGAG
Long non-coding RNA from Lagopus muta (rock ptarmigan), 6525 nucleotides. RefSeq lists it as uncharacterized. The record is from RefSeq and is a predicted model, not a curated record. Lineage: Eukaryota; Metazoa; Chordata; Aves; Galliformes; Phasianidae. The transcript has 5 exons.